This 1136-nucleotide long non-coding RNA is filed under the name Salvia miltiorrhiza (redroot sage). Its description in RNAcentral is "long non-coding RNA (SMIL_LNC010787)". Lineage: Eukaryota; Viridiplantae; Streptophyta; Magnoliopsida; Lamiales; Lamiaceae. The record is from RNAcentral.
AAGAACAAGACGACCCUCAAAUAGUAAUUUAUUUCUACCAAAUAAAAUCCCAUCCGAAUACAUGUUAUGUAAAUAACAUGUACAUGUAGUAUAAUUUGGAAAUCAUGAAAUUAAUAGAACACAUGCAAUUUAAUGAAAAUAGAUAGAAGAGGGGUUGGUCGCAAAUGGUUAGAUUAGAUGGCUCCUCUUGUGAGGUUGUCCAAGAGAGCCGUAAGAAGAGCAUCCCUCCUCUCAGCCCUAGCUUCCUCUCUCAUCUUCCUCUCUUCCUCUCUCUCUCUCCACCAACUAUUCAUCAUCAGCCUCUCCACUCUCCAACGCCUCCAUUCUCUGCCCCCCACUCCAUCUCCCCUCUCUCUCCUCCUAUCCUCUCUCUCCUCAUAAGCUUUUAUCCACUGCAUCUCCAACUCCAUCUGCUGCCUCAUGAAUUCCUCCAUCAUCUCCUUCAAUCCAUCCACCACCGGCGAUGAAUUCCCGCUGCUGCAGCCUGAAUUCGCCGCCUUCGACACCAUUUGCGGAGAGAUGGCGCCGCCCUCCACCUCCUGCCACAUCAUUCGUUGCAUUCUCGCGUUGAAUAUGAUNNNNNNNNNNNNNNNNNNNNUAUAUAUAUAUAUAUAUAUAUAUAUAUAUUAAGAACAUUUCAUUUCAUUUACAUAUCUUAUAUUACAUAUAACAUGUGAAUUCCUUCGAAUUAAAACCAAAAGCAAGUAAACUCAUAUAAUUAACAACGUUAACAUUAAUUGCUUCAUAAUUAGCUACAUUCCAAAGUAGAACAUGAAAUUAAUUAAACACUAAUAGUAGUACUUAAUAUUCAUCAUAAUUAGUAGCUACAUGAGCACAUUCCCAAGAACAAGACGACCCUCAAAUAAUAAUUUAUUUCUACCAAAUAAAAUCCCAUCCGAAUACAUGUUAUGUAAAUAACAUGUACAUGUAGUAUAAUUUGGAAAUCAUGAAAUUAAUAGAACACAUGCAAUUUAAUAGUAAAAUAGAUAGAAGAGGGGUUGGUCGCAAAUGGUUAGAUUAGAUGGCUCCUCUUGUGAGGUUGUCCAAGAGAGCCGUAAGAAGAGCAUCCCUCCUCUCAGCCCUAGCUUCCUCUCUCAUCUUCCUCUCUUCCUCUCUCUCUCUCCACCAACUAUUCA